Molecule: non-coding RNA, 74 nt
Organism: Aedes albopictus (Asian tiger mosquito)
Lineage: Eukaryota; Metazoa; Arthropoda; Insecta; Diptera; Culicidae
Source: Rfam
CGUUCUGUGGCCAGGUUGGUUAAAGCGUCGGUCUACCGAAUGCGGAGCUGUGGGAUCGAAUCCCACCAGAGCCC